AUUGAACGCUGGCGGCAUGCCUUACACAUGCAAGUCGAACGGCAGCGGGGGAGAAGCUUGCUUUUCCUGCCGGCGAGUGGCGAACGGGUGAGUAAUACAUCGGAACGUGCCCUGUAGUGGGGGAUAACUAGUCGAAAGAUUAGCUAAUACCGCAUACGACCUGAGGGUGAAAGCGGGGGACCGCAAGGCCUCCUGCUAUAGGAGCGGCCGAUGUCUGAUUAGCUAGUUUGUGGGGUAAAGGCCUACCAAGGCGACGAUCAGUAGCUGGUCUGAGAGGACGAUCAGCCACACUGGGACUGAGACACGGCCCAGACUCCUACGGGAGGCAGCAGUGGGGAAUUUUGGACAAUGGGCGAAAGCCUGAUCCAGCAAUGCCGCGUGUGUGAAGAAGGCCUUCGGGUUGUAAAGCACUUUUGUCCGGAAAGAAAUGGCUCUGGUUAAUACCUGGGGUCGAUGACGGUACCGGAAGAAUAAGGACCGGCUAACUACGUGCCAGCCGCCGCGGUAA
RNAcentral lists this ribosomal RNA (508 nucleotides) under uncultured bacterium. RNAcentral describes it as "partial 16S ribosomal RNA". It matches the Rfam family "Bacterial small subunit ribosomal RNA", at positions 30 to 523 of the family's 1533-position model. The record is from RNAcentral.